This 460-nucleotide ribosomal RNA is filed under the name uncultured bacterium. RNAcentral's name for it is "partial 16S ribosomal RNA". It matches the Rfam family "Bacterial small subunit ribosomal RNA", at positions 338 to 795 of the family's 1533-position model. The record is from RNAcentral.
CCUACGGGUGGCAGCAGUGAGGAAUAUUGGUCAAUGGACGAGAGUCUGAACCAGCCAAGUAGCGUGAAGGAUGACUGCCCUAUGGGUUGUAAACUUCUUUUAUAUGGGAAUAAAACGUUCCACGUGUGGGAUUUUGUAUGUACCAUAUGAAUAAGGAUCGGCUAACUCCGUGCCAGCAGCCGCGGUAAUACGGAGGGUCCGAGCGUUAUCCGGAUUUAUUGGGUUUAAAGGGAGCGUAGGUGGAUUGUUAAGUCAGUUGUGAAAGUUUGCGGCUCAACCGUAAAAUUGCAGUUGAAACUGGCAGUCUUGAGUACAGUAGAGGUGGGCGGAAUUCGUGGUGUAGCGGUGAAAUGCUUAGAUAUCACGAAGAACUCCGAUUGCGAAGGCAGUUCACUGGACUGCAACUGACACUGAGGCUCGAAAGUGUGGGUAUCAAACAGGACUAGAUACCCGUGUAGUC